UGGGGUGAAGUCGUAACAAGGUAUCCCUACCGGAAGGUGGGGAUGGAUCACCUCCUUUCUAUGGAGAAAGAGACGUUCUGUUUAGUUUUGGAAGAAUUUCUUCCAANGUUGAUCUUUGAAAACUAGAUAUCUUCAUUCAGAAGAAACAAACAAUAGAUUUGAUUUAGG
RNAcentral lists this unclassified non-coding RNA (168 nucleotides) under uncultured bacterium. RNAcentral's name for it is "16S-23S ribosomal RNA intergenic spacer". The stretch from base 1 to 58 matches the Rfam family "Bacterial small subunit ribosomal RNA", at positions 1476 to 1533 of the family's 1533-position model. The record is from RNAcentral.